GUAGGUGGCAAGCGUUGUCCGGAAUUAUUGGGCGUAAAGCGCGCGCAGGCGGUUCUUUAAGUCUGACGUGAAAGCCCACGGCUCAACCGUGGAGGGUCAUUGGAAACUGGAGAACUUGAGUACAGAAGAGGAAAGCGGAAUUCCACGUGUAGCGGUGAAAUGCGUAGAGAUGUGGAGGAACACCAGUGGCGAAGGCGGCUUUCUGGUCUGUAACUGACGCUGAGGCGCGAAAGCGUGGGGAGCAAACAGGGAUUAGAUACCCUGGUAGUCCACGCCGUAAACGAUGAGUGCUAAGUGUUAGGGGGUUUCCGCCCCCUUAGUGCUGCAGCUAACGCAUUAAGCACUCCGCCUGGGGUAGUACGGCCGCAAGGCUG
This 374-nucleotide ribosomal RNA is filed under the name uncultured organism. RNAcentral's name for it is "partial 16S ribosomal RNA". It matches the Rfam family "Bacterial small subunit ribosomal RNA", at positions 527 to 896 of the family's 1533-position model. The record is from RNAcentral.